CAGCAGCCACGGUAAGACAGAGGAUGCAAGCGUUGUCCGGAAUUAUUGGGCGUAAAGGGCUCGCAGGCGGUUUCUUAAGUCUGAUGUGAAAGCCCCCGGCUCAACCGGGGAGGGUCAUUGGAAACUGGGAAACUUGAGUGCAGAAGAGGAGAGUGGAAUUCCACGUGUAGCGGUGAAAUGCGUAGAGAUGUGGAGGAACACCAGUGGCGAAGGCGACUCUCUGGUCUGUAACUGACGCUGAGGAGCGAAAGCGUGGGGAGCGAACAGGAUUAGAUACCCCGGUAGUCCCUGUCUCUUAUAC
This 301-nucleotide ribosomal RNA is filed under the name uncultured bacterium. RNAcentral's name for it is "partial 16S ribosomal RNA". It matches the Rfam family "Bacterial small subunit ribosomal RNA", at positions 509 to 807 of the family's 1533-position model. The record is from RNAcentral.